AACGAACGCUGGCGGUAUGCUUAACACAUGCAAGUCGAACGGACUAAUUAAGGGCUUGCUCUUGAUUAGUUAGUGGCAAACGGGUGAGUAACGCGUGGGAAUCUACCCAUCAGUACGGAAUAACAUUUGGAAACAAAUGCUAAUACCGUAUAUUCUCGAAAGAGGAAAGAUUUAUCGCCGAUGGAUGAGCCCGCGUCAGAUUAGGUAGUUGGUGGGGUAAUGGCCUACCAAGCCGACGAUCUGUAGCUGGUCUGAGAGGACGAUCAGCCACACUAGAACUUAGACACGAUCCAGACUCCUAAGGGAGGCAGCAGUGGGGAAUAUUGGACAAUGGGCGAAAGCCUGAUCCAGCAAUACCGCGUGAACGAUAAAGGCCUUAGGGUUGUAAAGUUCUUUUAGCAGGGAAGAUAAUGACGGUACCUGCAGAAAAAGCCCCGGCUAACUCCGUGCCAGCCGCCGCGGUAA
RNAcentral lists this ribosomal RNA (465 nucleotides) under uncultured bacterium. RNAcentral's name for it is "partial 16S ribosomal RNA". It matches the Rfam family "Bacterial small subunit ribosomal RNA", at positions 29 to 523 of the family's 1533-position model. The record is from RNAcentral.